This 4528-nucleotide long non-coding RNA is filed under the name Homo sapiens (human). Its description in RNAcentral is "non-protein coding lnc-ITPR3-1:8". The record is from RNAcentral. Lineage: Eukaryota; Metazoa; Chordata; Mammalia; Primates; Hominidae.
CCACAUUCUGUCUUAAGAGAAAAGCCCCAGAAGGAAAGAGAUUAACCCAGAAUUUUGGAGAAAGUUGUCAUUAAGAGGCAGGUGGAGGGACUGGUUAAAAAAGGGUGAAAAAGUGGUGGGGUCGGGUGUAGAAAGAGAGCAAUUAGGAAAAGUGGCACUCCAGGAAGUUAAGGGACAAGUCUCAACAGAGAGCAUGGGUGACAAUGUCAAAUGCCACCUAAAUAUUAUGUGCUGGAGGCCUGAGCAGUGUCCUGUGGAUUUAGCAAGGCUGCUGGUGAGCUCAGCACAAGCUGCUGCUGUGGGGUGAGUGGAGGGCGCAUUGGUGCCACCAGGAGGGAAGGAAGGAGUGGCCCACUAGCAGCCUUAGUGGAAGAUGCCCUAGAGAGGAGAGGGGUUGAGGAUUUCUGGAUCGAGGGAGAAGACUGCAGGGCUCAAAUCCUGGAGAGGCUGGGGAGGAGGGUCCAGGGCCAGACCUUGGGAGAGAGGAGGCCCUGUCAACUGGCACAUGGGAAGGUCAGGAGGCAGGCGAAGGCCGCUGGGCUCUGGGCCCUACUGUCCUCAGUGAAAUAGCUGCUGAGGAUAUUUUCUGAGUGUCUGGCUAGUGGUUGCAAAAAGCCCAGAGGAGGUUGCAAGAGGUGAGGCAGCUGAUCAAAGCAAGUGGAAGGGUAGGCCCCGAGGCCCAGCUGGAGAGGGAGGCAGAGGUUCCUGGCGCUGUGGCUGUGCAGAAGCAGCUUUCCUGCAGCCUGAGUGCCUGUGGAGCUGGGGUGGGAAGGCAGAGCGGACACUAGCCUGGGUUGGGGAUUGUAAGGAGGCUGAGCUGAGCUGUAGGGACAAAGGCCCAGCGAUGUGGAUGCUGGUGAGAGUAGCUCCAAGAAGUGAAAGAAGGAAGGGAAGCCUGGAUGUUGAGAACCCAGAGAGACUCUGGAGCCCUCCAUGAGCAUCCCCAAAGAACAUUCAAGUCUGAGCCUCAAGGAGCCUCUGCGACUCGGUGUCUAGAUCCAGGAAAUGGAGAAUGAGCCGUGACUUUGGAUGCUUCACUCUUGUCCAUCAGGCUCGGAAUUGGGUAGCCCGGCUCUGCAGGGACAGUCACGGAGCUGAAAAACUGCUGCCUAAUGAAGCUGUUUUCUUCUACCACCGGCUCACCCUCAAAUUAUUUCCUGAGCGAACUCAAGAACCUUCCUGGGCUAAGCCCCAAUUUUGGGGCUCGCCUGCCCCUGCAUCACAGCUUCCUCUUCUGUUCACAGCUGCAACCGCCUACUCAACCUUCUGCGGUUCCUCUCCCUGCCCCUCCACAGUGGCUGCUGAUGGGAGCUCUGGCUCCCUGCGUUUUCACUAUCUCCCAGUCAAAUGCAGAGUCCCUGUGCAAUUUAAAUGCUUCUCAGCUAAGAACAGAGAAGGGGAUAGCAUAAGGAUAUUCAAAAGAUUCAAGAAAUCUCAAAAGUGAUCACAAAACAUUUGUCUCUGACCAACCAGAAACAUCGACGGGUGAGAAGGGCAUUUCCUCUAGCUGAAUUCUUCAUGGGUCUUCAGGCUCUGUUUUCACUUUGGAUUUUCUGGAGUCUCCUGAAGGUUACCUGAAAUCUUGUUGGUCCUGAAUAUUGUAUGUGGAGUCCCAAGCUGCAAGAAGUCAGUGGGGCUGGACGGGAGCCAAAAUCAGAGACUCAAGCAGCACAGCUGGGCCCCAUUGAAAGUGAGACCAGCUGUCCCAGUUGGAAGCUGGGGUAUAGAGCUGGGGAUGGGUGGAGGCAGUGACAGGCUCCAUGUAUUGGUCAUUCAGACUCCCCAGUAGCCUCAGGACCCAACUCCCACAGGUCAGAGAAGACCUGGUGGAGGGCCUUAUGCAAACCUCAGUGGGUGAUGCAGGAGGGAGUUUUCUGAGCAGGAAUGCCAACAAAAAAGGCCUUCAAAGGAAGGCCCUGCUUGGGACAAUCCUGCCUCUUUAUGGUCUGGUUCACAGGUUCCCCUGGGUGGGGUAAUGGAAUCCAAGCUAAGGUGUCUGACUUCAAAAGUUUUCAGAAAUGCCACUUUUGUAAGCAUCAGGGAUUGGGUUUUCUGAGAUGCAAAACAUCUUUGUUAAGGGGUUAAAGCAUCCUUAAGCUGUUUAGGUUUCUGGGGAUACAUAGACUUAGGAAGUUAGAGCAGGUGAAGUUGAGGGGGAUGGGAACUAAGAAUUAGCUCAAAAUAGUCACCAAUGCAGAAACCCAGGCACUUGGGACCCUGACAGUGGGGAAGGCAGAGGAGUAACUGUGGGGACUUGGGCACCCUAUUAGCAGAAUGGGGUAACAGAGAAGGCAAGAAUUGCUUCCCAGGAGACUGGGCUGGGAACAGGAAGGGGACUAAAAUGCUGUCCCUGGCUGAAGAGUGUGGAGGUAUAGAGGAGCUGGUAGCAGGGCUCUGAAUCCAUACACGAGAGCAAGGACCAGUGGUUUCAGGGUGGGAUAGGGCUUUGAUGUCUUCAUGGACUUAGGGUAAUAUUCACCACCAUGGUGAAUUCCACAAAGGAGAAUUCACACAAAGGUCUCGGACCAGCCAGUUUCCAUGUGAAAAAGCCAUCUGGGAGCAAGGGAACAAACCCAGGAAUACAACUGUAUUGGGGGAAAUUCAGCCAGACAUAGGGCAAAAUUCACCCCCAAUAUUUCAUGUAGGUUCUUUUCUAUUUUCCGUAAGUGUCGGCCGGUCUGAGAAAUAAAGGGACAGAGCUCAAAAGAGAGAAAUUUUAAAGCUGGGUGUCUGGGGGAGACAUCACAUGUCGGCAGGUUCCGUGAUGCCCCCCGAGCCGUAAAACCAGCAAGUUUUUAUUCGUGAUUUUCAAAAGGGGAGGGGGAGUGUAUGAAUAGGGUGUGGGUCACAGAGAUCACAUGCUUCACAAGAUAAUAAGAUAUCACAAGGCAAAUGGAGGCAGGGCGAGAUCACAGGACCACAGGACCGGGGCAAAAUUAAAAUUGCUAAUGAAGUUUCGGGCAUGCAUUUUCAUUGAUAACAUCUUAUCAGGAGACAGGGUCUGAGAGCAGACAACCGGUCUGACCAAAAUUUAUUAGGCGGGAAUUUCCUCGUCCUAAUAAGCCUGGGAGCGCUAUGGGAGACUGGGGCUUAUUUCAUCCCUACAGCUUUGACCAUAAAAGACGGCCGCCCCCCGAAGCGGCCAUUUCGGAGGCCUACCCUCAGGGACACAUUCUCUUUCUCAGGGAUGUUCCUUGCUGAGAAAAAAAAUUUAGCGAUAUUUCUCCCAUUUGUUUUUGAAAGAAGAAAAAUAUGGCUCUGUUCUGCCUGGCUCACCGGCAGUCAGAGUUUAAGGUUAUCUCUCUUGCUCCCUGAACAUUGCUGUUAUCCUGUUCUUUUUUCAAGGUGCCCAGAUUUCAUAUUGUUCAAACACACAUGCUCUACAAACAAUUUGUGCAGUUAACGCAAUCAUCACAGGGUCCUGAGGCGACAUACAUCCUCCUCAUUUUACAAAGAUGAUGGGAUUAAGAGAUUAAAGACAGGCAUAGGAAAUCACAAGGGUAUUGAUUGGGGAAGUGAUAAGUGUCCAUGAAAUCUUCACAAUUUAUGUUCAGAGAUUGCAGUAAAGACAGGCGUAAGAAAUUAUAAAAGUAUUAAUUUGGGGAACUAAUAAAUGUCCAUGAAAUCUUCACAAUCCACAAUUAUUCUGCCAUGGCUUCAGCCGGUCCCUCCAUUUGGGGUUCCUGACUUCCCGCAACACAAGUGGAGAGAGAGGUGGCCUGACAUUAUGGCUAAGUUGAUAUGGAAGCAUUCUGGUUUGUUCUAGAAAAAAUGAAAGAGGUGGUGCAGGUAAUCAUCAGCUCCUGGUUCUGUAGCAAGGCUUUUGCUGCAAUCCCAGGAGGUAGCAACCUAGGCUUUGGUUCUGAAAGAAGAGGGUCUACCUUCCUGAAUCAUUUUUAGGAGUCUGCUGAUGGCCAGGCUUGGUGAGUUGGACUCUGUAAGGAAUUUUUAUUUAAGUGAGGUCUGGGUAGGAAAAGAGAAGGGAAAAACUUGACCCUGCCUGCACCAAAGGAUUCUGGGAAGGAGAAUAAAGAGAAAAACCCUUCUUCAUGUUUCUGCUUCAGAGCAGGAGAACCAUCACAAGCUAAGUAAAGUCAAUGAAGGGCGAGUGGCCCUAUGGCCACCUGGGCACACACCUGCCCCUUGGCCACCUUGCAUAGGCAGGCUGAGGAGGUCACUAAGGCUUGGUUUUCCUGACCUGCCCUGAUUCCACAUGCUGUAAGGAGGACCCAGAAGGCUGUGUGGCUACAGAGGUGCCCAGCAUGGUGGGGGUCACUUCAGUGUGGACACUAGACUGGACCGCGUGGAACUACAACCAGCUCAGAGCGCCAGCCAGAGUGCUGUUCUGGCCAGAAGGAGGAGCCAAGACCCACACCCAGGAGGACAAUGAGCCCCUCUCUGCAGACAGGAGCCAGCCACACCUGGGGUCUGGGGAGACUCUUCCUGAUUCCAAAUGGGACUGAACUUUAAACCAGACUGGGCAUUUGAGCAAUUUUUUAAAAGCUGUCAACCAAAUAAAGGAAUGCCA